AGGACGAACGCUGGCGGCGUGCUUAACACAUGCAAGUCGAGCGACGCUCCUCCUUCGGGAGGAUGACGGAGCGGCGAACGGGUGAGUAACACGUGGGCAACCUGCCCCUAGCUCUGGGAUAACCCCGGGAAAUCGGGACUAAUACCGGAUAUGAAGUCGGACGGCAUCGUCUGACUUGGAAAGUUUUUCGGCUAGGGAUGGGCCCGCGGCCUAUCAGCUUGUUGGUGGGGUAAUGGCCUACCAAGGCGACGACGGGUAGCCGGCCUGAGAGGGCGACCGGCCACACUGGGACUGAGACACGGCCCAGACUCCUACGGGAGGCAGCAGUGGGGAAUAUUGCACAAUGGGCGAAAGCCUGAUGCAGCGACGCCGCGUGAGGGAUGACUGCCUUCGGGUUGUAAACCUCUUUCAGCAGGGACGAAGCGAAAGUGACGGUACCUGCAGAAGAGCACCGGCCAACUACGUGCCAGCAGCCGCGGUAA
This 482-nucleotide ribosomal RNA is filed under the name uncultured bacterium. RNAcentral's name for it is "SSU rRNA". It matches the Rfam family "Bacterial small subunit ribosomal RNA", at positions 26 to 523 of the family's 1533-position model. The record is from RNAcentral.